UACGGAGGGUGCUAGCGUUGUUCGGAAUCAUUGGGCGUAAAGAGCGUGUAGGCGGUCCGGUCAGUCGGUUGUGAAAGUCAAGGGCUCAACCCUUGAAUGCCGGCCGAUACUGCCGGGCUAGAGUCCGGAAGAGGUGAGUGGAAUUCCUGGUGUAGCGGUGAAAUGCGCAGAUAUCAGGAGGAACACCGAUGGCGAAGGCAGCUCACUGGGACGGUACUGACGCUGAGACGCGAAAGCGUGGGGAGCAAACAGG
RNAcentral lists this ribosomal RNA (253 nucleotides) under uncultured bacterium. RNAcentral describes it as "partial 16S ribosomal RNA". It matches the Rfam family "Bacterial small subunit ribosomal RNA", at positions 524 to 776 of the family's 1533-position model. The record is from RNAcentral.